CGGGGGGAGGAGGGGCCCUGGCGGAGACUCGUGGCUCCUGCCUCUGUUUACAAGCCUUGUACUCUUUUAAUGUCAGCCUGCUCCUUUUCCCCGUCAAACUGGAGAGAGAGAGAGAGAGAGAGAUAGUCAGAACGGAACGGCAGAGCUCCUUCUCCCCUUCAGACAGAGAGAGAGAUAGUCAGAACGGAACGGCAGCGCUCAGAGGACACACGGAGCCGCUCUCGAUACAAACUACAGCAUGGCUAGGCGACCGAGACACAGUGUGUACAGUAGUGAGGAAGAUGAUGAUGACAGUGAGAUGUAUGAACAUGACUAUGAUGGACCGCUGCCCAAGCCAAGCAAACGCCAUCUAGGCAAGACACGCUGGACACGAGAAGAGGAUGAGAAGCUGAAGAAGUUAGUAGAACAUCAUGGAUCAGAAGACUGGAAACUCAUCACUAGUUUCCUACCUAACCGUACAGACGUUCAGUGUCAGCAUCGCUGGCAGAAGGUUCUCAACCCAGAGCUCAUCAAAGGACCCUGGACCAAGGAGGAGGACCAGAGAGUUAUCGAACUAGUCCAGAAGUAUGGAGCCAAGCGUUGGUCCGUAAUCGCCAAGCAUCUGAAGGGUCGGAUAGGGAAGCAAUGCAGAGAACGCUGGCACAACCACCUGAACCCCGAGGUGAAGAAGACUUCCUGGACCGAGGAAGAGGAUCAGAUCAUCUACCAGGCCCACGAGAAACUGGGAAACCGCUGGGCUGAGAUCGCUAAACUGCUGCCUGGCAGGACUGAUAAUGCCAUUAAGAACCACUGGAACUCUACGAUGCGUAGGAAAGUGGAGCAGGAAGGUUACCUUCAGCACCCCGCCGCCAAGUCUGUCCACGCAUCCCUCACCGUCUCUCCCGGUUACGCCAAGGCCAACAACCACAUCAUGAGCUUCUCUCACCACUCCCCUCUCCCGCCUCUCUCACCUUUCACAGGGAACCACUCCUAUAUUUCGGACCACAGGGUGCCCUUCCCCCGAGGGCUGCACGUCAACAUCCUGAACAUUCCACAGCACGGAACAGCUGCUAUACAGAGACAUUAUAGUGAGGAGGACCCAGAAAAGGAGAAGAGAGUGAAGGAGAUUGAGCUGCUGCUAAUGUCAACAGAGAAUGAGUUGAGGGGACAGCCUGCACUACCUAUCAACCCGUACUCCAGCUGGGCAGGUAGUGACAGCUCAGAAGGCGUGGCCACAUCGUGCCAUCACCACCAGGCCGCCGGCCCCUGCCUCCCCGAGGAGAGCGCCUCGUCCUCACGCAGCAACAACAGCAACAAUAACAACAACAACAACAACAACAACAACAGCAGCAGCAACAACAACAGUCACCAUGGCAGCCACACCCUCUCCAACCUCCCGGAGUUCAUGGAGUCAGUCAUCGACUCGUUUCUCAACCAAUCGGCGAGCACGGAAAGCUCAGACAGCGACAGCCUACCAAUGAGCUCCCAGAAACAUCUGCUGGCCACGCCUCUACACCGAGACCACACCCCCCGACCCCAGAAAAGAAAUGACAUGUUCAGAACUCCUACUAUCCGUCGUUCCCUCCUGGAGUUGUCUCCUCGUACUCCGACCCCCUUCAGGUCUUCCAUGGUAGAGUGUAUAAAACAGGAACCUAUGGAGUGUGUUGUCUCGGUCGGGGACCAACAGCCAACCCUAAAGAAGAUCAAACAAGAGGUGGAGUCUCCCUGUCUGCAGUGGAAAGGGUCAGACCUCCCUACCCAGCUCUUCUCCCCCUCUGGCCCCGUCCAGGAAGUACCUGAUCUGCUGACACGUUCUGUGCUGAGUGAUGACAAACCCUACCACCUCUCCCUCCGGCCCCUGGCCAGCCCACUACAGGUCAGUGUUGCCGAAGCAAAGUGAAAAGCACAAUAUGAAAACAACAUUGACAACAACAACAAUAGCAGCUAAAGAAAACAGCUCAACACAUGGGACCAAGUGGCUUGUGGGAAGGUGGAGGAUCAAGAACAGAACCACAAAUACAUCCACACUUACUCUGCCAGAACCUUGGUUAUGUAACACACACACACACACACACACACACACACACACACACACACACACACACACACACACACACACACACACACACACACACACACACACACACACACACACACACACACACACACACACACACAGUGGGUACACCGGAUCAAAGACCUUGUGUUUAUUUCUAUUUCAACUUUUUUUUGUAGAUUUUUUUAAUGCUUUGUUGUUUUAUAAAACAGGGAGAAAAUGAUGUGCCUAUAAUUCAGUAAUAAUUGGGCUAUAUUCUAUAUUCUUAAUAAUCCUAAAUUGUAAUAUUGUAAUAUAAGGAACAAGUUGAUUAAUUUAUUUUGUUUUGAGGAAGACUGUUUUUUUUAUAUAACCGGCCAAUCGAGCAGUGUUUGACUUCAGUAUUUGAACCUUAACCCCUGACCCCUAACCCUUGACCCCUAACCCCAGGCCCUAGCAUUAUAACAGGUUAAAGGUUGUUUUUUUUUUAAGUGCAAAAAAAGAUGAUUAUGAAACGAAUUAAACGACCCCCCCUCUGUAUUUCAGUCACACUUAGAGUCCGAGGAGAGGCCUUUACAAAACAUCACAAUGCCUUUAUAAUGCCUAUAUGAGUGUUACCAUGUCAGGCAUUACGUCAUACGUCAGCUCCUAUGUCAACCUUCUGAAUGGUUAUGAAUGAUCAUAUGAUGCUGUUUCACCCGUAUUCUGAUUCGUCUUGUUUCCUAUCUUGUCUAUAUACUGUAUCAUAGGGGAAACAUUUCCAUUCAACAAAAUGUAUUAUUAUUCAUGUUAUUACUUUUGUCCUAAAGUCUUACACUGAGUUUACUACAGAUGCAUCAAACUAUGACCCCUAGACCCUACGGCCUAUGAUUGACCCCUAGACCCUACGGCCUAUGAUCGACCCCUAGACCCUACGGCCUAUGAUCGACCCCUAGACCCUACGGCCUAUGAUCGACCCCUAGACCCUACGGCCUAUGAUCGACCCCUAGACCCUACGGCCUAUGAUCGACCCCUAGACCCUACGACCUAUGAUCGACCCCUAGACCCUACGGGCUAUGAUCGACCCCUAGACCCUACGGCCUAUGAUCGACCCCUAGACCUUACGGCCUAUGAUCGACCCCCUAGACCCUGACGGCCUAUGAUCGACCCCUAGACCCUGAUCGACCCCCUAUGAUCGACCCCUAGACCUUACGGCCUAUGAUCGACCCCUAGACCCUACGGCCUAUGAUCGACCCCUAGACCCUACGACCUAUGAUCGACCCCUAGACCCUACGACCUAUGAUCGACCCCUAGACCUUACGGCCUAUGAUCGACCCCUAGACCCUACGGCCUAUGAUCGACCCCUAGACCUUACGGCCUAUGAUCGACCCCUAGACCCUACGGCCUAUGAUCGACCCCUAGGGUUCUAUGGGUCAAUUGAAGAGUGGGCCUACGAGCUGAACCCAGUAACAUGUUUUAAAGCUGCACUUGAUCGAGAACGCUGUUAUUUUUCUAGAUAUUGAUAAGAUUACUACAAACGUGGGCUCACAGGAUACCAAGAUUACUUUUGAUACUUUGUCUGUUUUGUUGUUGUUGUUGUUGUUGUUGUUGUUUUCUACCGUCUUUGUAAUCUAAUGCCACGAUACUAAACCAUGUCGCGUGUGUCAGAUCGAAAAACACUCAGCAGUGUUCUCUCUUAUCUUGUUUGGUGCCCUUUUUUACAUUUUUAUAAAAGCAUUUCCACAGGACAGGUUUUUAUGUGGUUUUUUAAUACUUUUUCAAUAAAGUCUUUUUUUUAAAAUCAGA
This is an RNA transcript of Oncorhynchus gorbuscha (pink salmon), 3799 nucleotides long. It is a transcript of the gene named transcriptional activator Myb-like, with no coding region annotated. NCBI's taxonomy places the organism in Eukaryota, Metazoa, Chordata, Actinopteri, Salmoniformes, Salmonidae. The record is from RefSeq and is a predicted model, not a curated record. The transcript has 15 exons.